RNAcentral lists this ribosomal RNA (427 nucleotides) under uncultured bacterium. Its description in RNAcentral is "partial 16S ribosomal RNA". It matches the Rfam family "Bacterial small subunit ribosomal RNA", at positions 355 to 774 of the family's 1533-position model. The record is from RNAcentral.
UGGGGAAUAUUGGACAAUGGGCGAAAGCCUGAUCCAGCCAUGCCGCGUGUGUGAAGAAGGUCUUCGGAUUGUAAAGCACUUUAAGUUGGGAGGAAGGGCAUUAACCUAAUACGUUAGUGUUUUGACGUUACCGACAGAAUAAGCACCGGCUAACUCUGUGCCAGCAGCCGCGGUAAUACAGAGGGUGCAAGCGUUAAUCGGAAUUACUGGGCGUAAAGCGCGCGUAGGUGGUUUGUUAAGUUGGAUGUGAAAUCCCCGGGCUCAACCUGGGAACUGCAUUCAAAACUGACUGACUAGAGUAUGGUAGAGGGUGGUGGAAUUUCCUGUGUAGCGGUGAAAUGCGUAGAUAUAGGAAGGAACACCAGUGGCGAAGGCGACCACCUGGACUAAUACUGACACUGAGGAGCGAAAGCGUGGGGAGCAAACA